RNAcentral lists this ribosomal RNA (422 nucleotides) under Glomus sp. RNAcentral's name for it is "SSU rRNA". It matches the Rfam family "Eukaryotic small subunit ribosomal RNA", at positions 459 to 886 of the family's 1831-position model. Lineage: Eukaryota; Fungi; Glomeromycota; Glomeromycetes; Glomerales; Glomeraceae. The record is from RNAcentral.
GGGAGGUAGUGACAAUAAAUAACAAUACGGGGUCCUUUCGGGUCUCGUAAUUGGAAUGAGUACAAUUUAAAUCUCUUAACGAGGAACAAUUGGAGGGCAAGUCUGGUGCCAGCAGCCGCGGUAAUUCCAGCUCCAAUAGCGUAUAUUAAAGUUGUUGCAGUUAAAAAGCUCGUAGUUGAAUUUCGGAAUCAGUACGCUGGUCGUGCCUUCGGUAUGUACUGGUGUCACUGGUUUCUCCCUUCUGAAGAACCAUCAUGCCAUUCACUUGGUGUGGUGGGAAAUCAGGACUGUUACUUUGAAAAAAUUAGAGUGUUUAAAGCAGGCUCGCGCUUGAAUACAUUAGCAUGGAAUAAUGAAAUAGGACGUUAAUCCUAUUUUGUUGGUUUCUAGGAUCGACGUAAUGAUUAAUAGGGAUAGUUGGG